This 839-nucleotide ribosomal RNA is filed under the name Meretrix casta. RNAcentral describes it as "SSU rRNA". It matches the Rfam family "Eukaryotic small subunit ribosomal RNA", at positions 395 to 1226 of the family's 1831-position model. The record is from RNAcentral. Lineage: Eukaryota; Metazoa; Mollusca; Bivalvia; Venerida; Veneridae.
CAUGAGAUACGGCUACCACAUCCAAGGAAGGCAGCAGGCGCGCAAAUUACCCAAUGCAGACACUGCGAGGUAGUGACGAAAAAUAACAAUGCGGGACUCUUUCGAGGCCUCGUAAUUGAAAUGAGUACACUCUAAAUCCUUGACACGAGGAUCCAUUGGAGGGCAAGUCUGGUGCCAGCAGCCGCGGUAAUUCCAGCUCCAAUAGCGUAUACACGGGUUGCUGCAGUUAAAAAGCUCGUAGUUGGAUCUCGGGCGCGGGCUCGCGGUGUGCUCGUCGAGGCGACCAUCGCUUGUCCAAGCCUCCCAGCCGGACAUUGAAAGUCCCUGGUGCUCUUCAUCGAGCGUCUUGGACGGCCGGCGUGUUUACUUUGAAGAAAUUAGAGUGCUCAAAGCAGGUCUAGCCAGCCUGAAUACUGUUGCAUGGAAUAAUGGAAUAGGACCUCGGUUCUAUUUUGUUGGUUUUGAGAGCACGAGGUAAUGAUUAAGGAAGCUGACGGGGGCUUACGUACUGCGGCGCGAGAGGUGAAAUUCUGUGACCGUCGCAAGACGAACGAGAGCGAAAGCAUUUGCCAAGCAUGUUUUCGUUAAUCAAGAACGAAAGUCAGAGGUUCGAAGACGAUCAGAUACCGUCGUAGUUCUGACUGUAAACUAUGCCAACUGUCGAUCCGCCGUGGUUACUUCAAUGACCCGGUGUGCAGCCUCCGGGAAACCAAAGUCUUUGGGUUCUGGGGGGGAGUAUGGUUGCAAAGCUGAAACUUAAAGGAAUUGACGGAAGGGCACCACCAGGAGUGGAGCCUGUGGCUUAAUUUGACUCAACACGGGGAAACUUACCCGGUCCG